Molecule: long non-coding RNA, 1377 nt
Filed under: Monodelphis domestica (gray short-tailed opossum)
Lineage: Eukaryota; Metazoa; Chordata; Mammalia; Didelphimorphia; Didelphidae
Description: lncRNA (ENSMODG00000038662.1)
Source: RNAcentral
GGGGGUUACAAGGCAGAGUUCUAUGGAAUGUUGAAAGCUUUUUUUUGAGCCAACUGUCUUUUCCUGAGUGCUCUGACCCACUGGAGCUUAGAGAAGGAGGAAGUUUUCCCUCUGGAGCUCUUGGCAUUUUCCAGUGUCAGUUUGGGAAUACCAACAUCAAUAAUUAGUGACUGUGUGGCUGUGACCUAAGAGAUAUUACCAACUGAGAAAGAAGCAAAGAAGAUCUUUCUUUCCUGGUCUUUGUGAUCCUGACCAUGUGAAGACAGACUCUUGGAUUCAGCAAGAAAAAUCCAUUUUACCCUCAACAAUCAGCUCCUUAUACCAAGCAAGUCCCAGGAGCUCAAGACUGGAUCUCUGCUCAAGCACCAAUCUUAUAUUAACCCCUGAUUCUCCCCCUGUGCUCAUUCCCAUGGUAGUGAAGGGUCCCCUACCCAAAGGGACAAUGGGCCUUAUUAUGGAAAGGAGUUCUCUCUCUCUUCAGGGAGUGUUAGUGAUUCCAGGGAUUAUAGAUUCAGACUCUCUGGGUGAGAUUCAGGUGAUGAUACAACCCUACUAGGACAGUAAAUAUAGUGAAAGCACAAAGAAUUGCACAAUUAAUCCUCAUUCCCAAUGUGAGAACUGCAAACCCUGUUCUUAAACUAUCCCAAGGACAAGGAAGAUUUGGAUCCUCUAAUUGGACAUUUUGUGUUCAGGAAAUAAAAAAUUCCAGACCUAUGAAAGUUAUUAAAGUUAAUCAUAAAAAUAUCAAAGGAUUACUGGACACAGGAGCAGACUCCAGUUGUAUUUCAGGGAAAGACUGGCCCCAAGCUUCACCCACUAAAGAUACCCCUGCCAACCUUAUAGGUAUUAGACAGGCCACUAAUGUUGCUCAAAGAUCUCAGAUUUUAACCUGGUCUGAUGGAAAACUGUAGGACAAUUCUUCCAUAUGUGGUUCCUUCUCUCCCUUUAAUCAUAUGGCAUUUCUGGCUCCAGAACAGUAACCUUUUCCAGCUAGUAUUCCCAUACAUGUUUGGAUUCCAGAAAGAUCCACCCAUCCCUGCCAUGACUCCCAUCCCAACAACAAGCCUGGAAGAAUGCAGAUACAGAGACUGUGCUAAAACAACUGGAUGCUCUACCAACUUGGGGACAAAUUGGGAUACUUGCAGCCCAAGCAAAACAAAGAAUGGACAAGCAAUAACUUACACCUCCUGAUUGUACUAAUGCCUUAUUUCUUGCCAUGCUAGGCCUUUCAUCUGUACUCCCUGGUAUUUCUGCCAUUAAAAGCCUCUCAUCUCCCAUUACUCAUUUCUUUUUGUGGAAAUUCACUGCUUCUCCCCCCACCCCCACCCCAGUGUAUUACUGCGCUCUAGUGACAAGAAAAGUUCCAAAUCCAUUCAA